This 466-nucleotide ribosomal RNA is filed under the name uncultured bacterium. RNAcentral's name for it is "partial 16S ribosomal RNA". It matches the Rfam family "Bacterial small subunit ribosomal RNA", at positions 28 to 507 of the family's 1533-position model. The record is from RNAcentral.
GAUGAACGCUGGCGGCGUGCUUAACACAUGCAAGUCGAACGAUGAAGCCCAGCUUGCUGGGUGGAUUAGUGGCGAACGGGUGAGUAACACGUGAGUAACCUGCCCUUGACUCUGGGAUAAGCCUGGGAAACUGGGUCUAAUACUGGAUAUGACUUCUCAUCGCAUGGUGGGGGGUGGAAAGAUUUAUUGGUCUUGGAUGGACUCGCGGCCUAUCAGCUUGUUGGUGAGGUAAUGGCUCACCAAGGCGACGACGGGUAGCCGGCCUGAGAGGGUGACCGGCCACACUGGGACUGAGACACGGCCCAGACUCCUACGGGAGGCAGCAGUGGGGAAUAUUGCACAAUGGGCGCAAGCCUGAUGCAGCGACGCCGCGUGAGGGAUGACGGCCUUCGGGUUGUAAACCUCUUUCAGUAGGGAAGAAGCGAGAGUGACGGUACCUGCAGAAAAAGCGCCGGCUAACUACGUG